UACAGAGGGGGCAAGCGUUGUUCGGAAUUACUGGGCGUAAAGGGCGCGUAGGCGGCCUUCUAAGUCGAACGUGAAAUCCCCGGGCUCAACCCGGGAACUGCGUCCGAUACUGGAAGGCUUGAAUCCGGGAGAGGGGAGUGGAAUUCCUGGUGUAGCGGUGAAAUGCGUAGAGAUCAGGAGGAACACCCGUGGCGAAGGCGGCUCCCUGGUCCGUCCCUGACGCUGAGACGCGAAAGCGCGGGGAGCGAACGGG
This 253-nucleotide ribosomal RNA is filed under the name uncultured bacterium. RNAcentral's name for it is "partial 16S ribosomal RNA". It matches the Rfam family "Bacterial small subunit ribosomal RNA", at positions 524 to 776 of the family's 1533-position model. The record is from RNAcentral.